This is a long non-coding RNA of Triticum aestivum (bread wheat), 938 nucleotides long. RefSeq lists it as uncharacterized. The transcript is spliced from 3 exons. The record is from RefSeq and is a predicted model, not a curated record. Lineage: Eukaryota; Viridiplantae; Streptophyta; Magnoliopsida; Poales; Poaceae.
AUAUGCCCAACCCUCUGUUCUGAACUAGUCAUCGAAUUAAUGAAUGAACUGAGCUGCUCCAGCUCCUUCGUUCUCGGUCAAUCCCUUUGCCAUUUCCUAUCUCUAUCCUGUGAUUCUUUAGCUACUGCUCGGGACAUCACAGGUCGGGGAUGCUAGGGAUGCGGGCGAGCACCGCGGCAGCAUCUCUACGGCGGAUGGGCACGGAGCCACGGACGCGCACCUCUACGGCGACCCGAACGACGCCGCCAUCCCGACGCUCCUCCGCUCCCGCUUCCACGCGCUCAAGCACCCCCUCGCCCUCAUCUCUCAGGGCGUCGACGUCGCCCACCUCUCCCCGCAGGCAGUCAAGAACGUGGCGGCGAGGUCGCUGAAGCUGAAGAAGCUCGUCUCGUCCACCUCUACCUGCUCCACUAGGCCGAGAGGUGCUACUGCAAGGCUGGAUUCAAUUGGUGAAUCCUACACUAGGAGCAGCGUCAGGCCACAACAUUUGUGGACCGGGAAUGCAAGACGGAUCACCUCCAUGUGGGCUGUUGUUGCAAGGUCACGAUGCUGCACCAAAGCUAACUCAGUAGGAGUAAUUUAUUCCCGUCCAAAUAUUUAUUAUUGAUCACUGCUGCUUCAUCUGUCUAUUCUCAUUUAACUAUAAUAUAUUUACUGGCCUUUUGAAUGUUUGGCUAAUUCUUUUUAUCUUUUGGGCCUUUACGGGAAGGAAAGAUGAAUUUAGAAGAGUUAAAUUUAGAGUUAUUGUAGUGUCUGCCCCGCAAGAACAAAAAGAGAAUUAGUGCAGUGUCUCAUGUCUGUUGGACCCAAUCUAAUUGUGCACACUAAAUAUACAUGCAUGCUGUAAGACAUGGUCACAUGGAUGAUUGGCAUCUUUUGACAAAGGCAUGUUAAUUUACUGGAAAAAUGCUACGGCACCUAUGACUAUGAGCGUAGAU